CGGAGUGUGGCGCAGUCUGGUAGCGCACUCGCCUGGGGGGCGAGGGGUCGCAAGUUCAAGUCUUGUCACUCCGACCA
RNAcentral lists this transfer RNA (77 nucleotides) under Alphaproteobacteria bacterium. Its description in RNAcentral is "tRNA-Pro". It matches the Rfam family "tRNA". Rfam says of the family: Transfer RNA (tRNA) molecules are approximately 80 nucleotides in length. Their secondary structure includes four short double-helical elements and three loops (D, anti-codon, and T loops). The record is from RNAcentral. Lineage: Bacteria; Pseudomonadati; Pseudomonadota; Alphaproteobacteria.